AGAAGGAAGUCGGCAGGCGAGACUGCAGAGGGAGUAGUGCGAUCCUGCGCGCGGGGGAACUAGCUGGAGGGCAAGGCGGGAACACGCCACUGUGAGCAUGCAUUUCAGGUUGUUGGCGCAGCUCUGCUCCAUGAUGUCGAUCUGAAACCCAGAUUUUCCUUCUCUUGCCACUGUCAUCUCCUGCAUGGCCAAAGCUAGGUCACCAUCAUAGUCAUGUUUCAGCCUAUGGGAAGGGGGAAAGACAAUAUUCAAGCAUCUAUUGUUGGGGUGAUCGGACCUAACACCAGGUUGUGGGGACAACGAAGUCCAGAAGAGUGAAAGGAAUGAGAAAAGACAGUUUGAGAGAGAAAGUGGGCCCAGGGGGCCAAUGCGAGUAUGGAGGCUGUGAAGGCCCCGAGCCCUGGAAGCCCAGACUAUUUAUUGGUGAUCAAACAAAGAAACAGGUGGAGUGAGUGAGAGAUGAGGACAUAACAUUCAGUCAUGGCGCUACAAAAGCUGUUUCCUAAAGCUUCGUUGAAUUGUGGUUGGAGGAUGUGGCCUGUGCAGAUUUUGCGUUGGUGUAUUUAUUAGUGUUUUCUUUGUGGCGGGGCUGUGUCAGUUUGCGUUGUUCUCAGUGCAAGUGCCUGAAAACCCAGCUGAGGGGCUUGAAUGACUAAGGGGCUGAUUUGUGCCCUACGACAAGUCCACAGGAGAAAGCCCAGGACCGCCUUGAAGGAAGCAGGCUCUUUCUGUUUUCCUGCUCUGCCAACUUAUGGAGAUGGUGCUGCUGCAUCUUGGGCAUCCUGUGUAUGGUCCAAGCAGGAAGGAAGAGGAACAGGGAGAGGAGGCACAUGUAGAUUUGUGUUUCUGUCUCUUUGGCAAGAACUGAACCAUAUGGGCACUGCCAGCCACAAGACAGCCUAGCUGGGCUUGUUUUCAGUUUUCUAAUCUCUAGCUUAGAGCAUAAAGUUUAUAAUGAUUGUUAGAUAGGCCAACCUAAUGAAUCUAGUACAAUAUCAAUUUUCAUAUAUGUAACAAAGAUACAGAAACUAUAUAUUUUUUGUAGGGGGUCCUUUGCUCUCCUAUAUUAAAAAUUAUUUAUGUCAUUGUUUAUUUUUUGCAUACUUGACCUGUCAAAAGCUAAAAGUGGUCUAAUAAAGUCUUGUGGAAUAAA
Molecule: long non-coding RNA, 1153 nt
Organism: Homo sapiens (human)
Lineage: Eukaryota; Metazoa; Chordata; Mammalia; Primates; Hominidae
Gene: PLEKHA8P1
Product: pleckstrin homology domain containing A8 pseudogene 1
Source: Ensembl